UCAUCUUCGGGGGUAGAGCACUGUUUCGGCUAGGGGGUCAUCCCGACUUACCAACCCGAUGCAAACUGCGAAUACCGAAGAAUGUUAUCACGGGAGACACACGGCGGGUGCUAACGUCCGUCGUGAAGAGGGAAACAACCCAGACCGCCAGCUAAGGUCCCAAAGUCACAGUUAAGUGGGAAACGAUGUGGGAAGGCACAGACAGCCAGGAUGUUGGCUUAGAAGCAGCCAUCAUUUAAAGAAAGCGUAAUAGCUCACUGGUCGAGUCGGCCUGCGCGGAAGAUGUAACGGGGCUAAACUGUGCACCGAAGCUGCGGCAGCGACACUAUGUGUUGUUGGGUAGGGGAGCGUUCUGUAAGCCGUUGAAGGUGUGUCGUGAGGCAUGCUGGAGGUAUCAGAAGUGCGAAUGCUGACAUAAGUAACGAUAAUGCGGGUGAAAAACCCGCACGCCGGAAGACCAAGGGUUCCUGUCCAACGUUAAUCGGGGCAGGGUGAGUCGACCCCUAAGGCGAGGCCGAAAGGCGUAGUCGAUGGGAAACAGGUUAAUAUUCCUGUACUUGGUGUUACUGCGAAGGGGGGACGGAGAAGGCUAUGUUAGCCGGGCGACGGUUGUCCCGGUUUAAGCAUGUAGGCGGAGGUUCCAGGUAAAUCCGGUACCUUAUUAACGCUGAGGUGUGAUGACGAGGCACUACGGUGCUGAAGUAACAAAUGCCCUGCUUCCAGGAAAAGCCUCUAAGCAUCAGGUAACACGAAAUCGUACCCCAAACCGACACAGGUGGUCAGGUAGAGAAUACCAAGGCGCUUGAGAGAACUCGGGUGAAGGAACUAGGCAAAAUGGUGCCGUAACUUCGGGAGAAGGCACGCUGAUAUGUAGGUGAAGUGGUUUACCCAUGGAGCUGAAAUCAGUCGAAGAUACCAGCUGGCUGCAACUGUUUAUUAAAAACACAGCACUGUGCAAACACGAAAGUGGACGUAUACGGUGUGACGCCUGCCCGGUGCCGGAAGGUUAAUUGAUGGGGUUAUCCGUAAGGAGAAGCUCUUGAUCGAAGCCCCGGUAAACGGCGGCCGUAACUAUAACGGUCCUAAGGUAGCGAAAUUCCUUGUCGGGUAAGUUCCGACCUGCACGAAUGGCGUAAUGAUGGCCAGGCUGUCUCCACCCGAGACUCAGUGAAAUUGAACUCGCUGUGAAGAUGCAGUGUACCCGCGGCAAGACGGAAAGACCCCGUGAACCUUUACUAUAGCUUGACACUGAACACUGGUCCUUGAUGUGUAGGAUAGGUGGGAGGCUUUGAAGUGUGGACGCCAGUCUGCAUGGAGCCAACCUUGAAAUACCACCCUUUAAUGGCUGGUGUUCUAACGUGGACCCGUGAUCCGGGUUGCGGACAGUGUCUGGUGGGUAGUUUGACUGGGGCGGUCUCCUCCUAAAGAGUAACGGAGGAGCACGAAGGUUAGCUAAUCCUGGUCGGACAUCAGGAGGUUAGUGCAAAGGCAUAAGCUAGCUUGACUGCGAGAGUGACGGCUCGAGCAGGUGCGAAAGCAGGUCUUAGUGAUCCGGUGGUUCUGAAUGGAAGGGCCAUCGCUCAACGGAUAAAAGGUACUCCGGGGAUAACAGGCUGAUACCGCCCAAGAGUUCAUAUCGACGGCGGUGUUUGGCACCUCGAUGUCGGCUCAUCACAUCCUGGGGCUGAAGUAGGUCCCAAGGGUAUGGCUGUUCGCCAUUUAAAGUGGUACGCGAGCUGGGUUUAGAACGUCGUGAGACAGUUCGGUCCCUAUCUGCCGUGGGCGCUGGAGAAUUGAGGGGGGCUGCUCCUAGUACGAGAGGACCGGAGUGGACGCAUCACUGGUGUUCGGGUUGUCAUGCCAAUGGCAUUGCCCGGUAGCUAAAUGCGGAAGAGAUAAGUGCUGAAAGCAUCUAAGCACGAAACUUGCCCCGAGAUGAGUUCUCCCUGAGACUAUAAGUCUCCUGAAGGAACGUUGAAGACGACGACGUUGAUAGGUCGGGUGUGUAAGUGUAGCGAUACAUUGAGCUAACCGAUACUAAUGAACCGUGAGGCUUAACCUU
Molecule: ribosomal RNA, 2062 nt
Filed under: Citrobacter youngae
Lineage: Bacteria; Pseudomonadati; Pseudomonadota; Gammaproteobacteria; Enterobacterales; Enterobacteriaceae
Description: 23S ribosomal RNA
Rfam family: Bacterial large subunit ribosomal RNA
Source: RNAcentral